AAUUUUGUACAAUGGGCGCAAGCCUGAUCCAGCCAUGCCGCGUGAGUGAAGAAGGCCUNCGGGUUNUNAAGCUCUUUCGUACGGANAGAAAUCGCGCAGGCUAAUACCCUGCGCGGAUGACUGUACCGUCAUAAGAAGCACCGGCUAACUACGUGCCAGCAGCCGCGGUAAUACGUAGGGUGCAAGCGGUAAUCGGAAUUACUGGGCGUAAAGCGUGCGCAGGCGGUUCGGAAAGAAGGAUGGGAAAUCCCAGGGCUCAACCUUGGAACUGCAUUCUUAACUACCGAACUAGAGUAUGUCAGAGGGGGGUAGAAUUCCGCGUGUAGCAGUGAAAUGCGUAGAUAUGCGGAGGAAUACCGAUGGCGAAGGCAGCCCCCUGGGCCGAUACUGACGCUCAUGCACGAAAGCGUGGGUAGCAAACAGG
RNAcentral lists this ribosomal RNA (424 nucleotides) under uncultured bacterium. RNAcentral describes it as "partial 16S ribosomal RNA". It matches the Rfam family "Bacterial small subunit ribosomal RNA", at positions 360 to 776 of the family's 1533-position model. The record is from RNAcentral.